GACGAACGCUGGCGGCGUGCCUAAUACAUGCAAGUCGAGCGCAGGAAAUCAUCCGAACCCUUAGGGGGGACGUUGAUGGAAUGAGCGGCGGACGGGUGAGUAACACGUAAAGAACCUGCCCUCAGGUCUGGGAUAACCACGAGAAAUCGGGGCUAAUACCGGAUGGGUCAUCGGACCGCAUGGUCCGAGGAUGAAAGGCGCUUCGGCGUCGCCUGGGGAUGGCUUUGCGGUGCAUUAGCUAGUUGGUGGGGUAAUGGCCCACCAAGGCGAUGAUGCAUAGCCGACCUGAGAGGGUGAUCGGCCACACUGGGACUGAGACACGGCCCAGACUCCUACGGGAGGCAGCAGUAGGGAAUCUUCCACAAUGGACGAAAGUCUGAUGGAGCAACGCCGCGUGAACGAUGAAGGCCUUCGGGUCGUAAAGUUCUGUUGUAAGGGAAGAACAAGUGCCGCAGGCAAUGGCGGCACCUUGACGGUACCUUGCGAGAAAGCCACGGCUAACUACGUGCCAGCAGCCGCGGUAA
Molecule: ribosomal RNA, 524 nt
Filed under: uncultured bacterium
Lineage: Bacteria
Description: partial 16S ribosomal RNA
Rfam family: Bacterial small subunit ribosomal RNA
Source: RNAcentral